AGAACUGAACCAGAUCUUAAAAGCCUAAGUAUUGAAUCUU
This 40-nucleotide small RNA is filed under the name Arabidopsis thaliana (thale cress). RNAcentral describes it as "ATSL271670". Lineage: Eukaryota; Viridiplantae; Streptophyta; Magnoliopsida; Brassicales; Brassicaceae. The record is from RNAcentral.